UCCCGUUGAUCCUGCGGGAGGUUGCUGCUAUUAGGAUUCGACUAAGCCAUGCAAGUCAGGGGUUCUUCGGAACACCGGCGAAAGGCUCAGUAACACGUCGAUAAUCUGCCCUUAGGUCAAGGAUAACCUCGGAAAACUGAGGCUAAACCUUGAUAUAGGAAAAUAUCUGGAAUGAUUUUUCCUUGAAACUCGUGCCUAAGGAUGAGUCGGCGGUGGAUUAGGCUGUUGGUGAGGUAAAGGCUCACCAAACCUGAGAUCCAUAGGGGCCCUGAAAGGGGUAGCCCCGAGAAGGGAACUGAGACACUGUCCCUAGCCCUACGGGGUGCAGCAGGCGCGAAACCUUUACACUGCACGAAAGUGUGAUAAGGGGAUCCUAAGUGCUCAUGUUUUACAUGGGCUUUUAUCAAGAGUAAAUAUCUUGGCGAAUAAGUGGUGGGUAAGACUGGUGCCAGCCGCCGCGGUAACACCAGCGCCACAAGUGGUGACCAGCAUUAUUGGGCCUAAAGCGUCCGUAGCAGGAAAAACAAAUCUUUUGUGAAACUGUUCAGCUCAACUGAACAACGUGCAGGAGACACUAUUUUUCUAGAGACCGGGAGGAGUCAGAGGUAUUUUUGGGGGAGCGGUAAAAUGCUAUAAUCCCAAGAGGACCACCGAUGGCGAAGGCAUCUGACUAGAACGGAUCUGACUGUGAGGGACGAAGGCCAGGGGAGCGAACCGGAUUAGAUACCCGAGUAGUCCUGGCAGUAAACGCUGCGAGCUAGGUGUUGCGCAAUCCACGGAUUGUGCAGUGUCGAAAUGAAGAUGUUAAGCUCGCCGCCUGGGAAGUACGGUCGCAAGACUGAAACUUAAAGGAAUUGGCGGGGGAGCACUACAAGGGGUGCGGCGUGCGGUUUAAUCUAACUUAACGCAGAGAAUCUCACCAGGAGCGACGGCAGAAUGAAGGUCAGUCUAAAGGGCUUACCUAACGAGCCGAGAGGUGGUGCAUGGCCGUCGUCAGCUCGUGCCGUAAGGUGUCCUGUUAAGUCAGGCAACGAGCGAGACCUGCGCUUAUAAUUGCUAACAGCCUUUGGGACUGAGCACAUUAUGAGGACUGCCUUGGAAACAAGGAGGAAGGUGCAGGCUACGGUAGGUCUGUAUGCCCCGAAUCCUCUGGGCUACACGCGCGCAACAAUGGUAAGGACAAUGGGAUGCGACUCCGAAAGGAGAAGCUAAACCUCUAAACCUUAUCCUAGUCUAGAUUGAGGAUUGUAACUCAUCCUCAUGACAACGGAAUCCCUAGUAAUCAGAUCUUAUCAUGAUCUGGUGAAUAUGUCCCUGCUCCUUGCACACACCGCCCGUCAAUCCAACCGAGCAGGGUUUAGGUGAGCCUUAGUUUCUUGACUAAGUCGAACCUAAGCUCAGUGAGGUGGGGUAAGUCGUCACAAGGUA
This 1428-nucleotide ribosomal RNA is filed under the name metagenome. Its description in RNAcentral is "bacterial SSU rRNA". It matches the Rfam family "Archaeal small subunit ribosomal RNA". The record is from RNAcentral.